GUCGAGGGGCAGCAUUUCAGUUUGCUUGCAACUGGAGAUGGCGACCGGCGCACGGGUGAGUAACACGUAUCCAACCUGCCGAUAACUCGGGGAUAGCCUUUCGAAAGAAAGAUUAUUACCCGAUAGUAUAAUGAAACCGCAUGGUCUUAUUAUUAAAGAAUUUCGGUUAUCGAUGGGGAUGCGUUCCAUUAGGCAGUUGGUGAGGUAACGGCUCACCAAACCUUCGAUGGAUAGGGGUUCUGAGAGGAAGGUCCCCCACAUUGGAACUGAGACACGGUCCAAACUCCUACGGGAGGCAGCAGUGAGGAAUAUUGGUCAAUGGGCGCAGGCCUGAACCAGCCAAGUAGCGUGAAGGAUGACUGCCCUAUGGGUUGUAAACUUCUUUUAUAUGGGAAUAAAGUUUUCCACGUGUGGAAUUUUGUAUGUACCAUAUGAAUAAGGAUCGGCUAACUCCGUGCCAGCAGCCGCGGUAAUACGGAGGAUCCGAGCGUUAUCCGGAUUUAUUGGGUUUAAAGGGAGCGUAGGUGGACAGUUAAGUCAGUUGUGAAAGUUUGCGGCUCAACCGUAAAAUUGCAGUUGAUACUGGCUGUCUUGAGUACAGUAGAGGUGGGCGGAAUUCGUGGUGUAGCGGUGAAAUGCUUAGAUAUCACGAAGAACUCCGAUUGCGAAGGCAGCUCACUGGACUGCAACUGACACUGAUGCU
RNAcentral lists this ribosomal RNA (703 nucleotides) under uncultured bacterium. Its description in RNAcentral is "bacterial SSU rRNA". It matches the Rfam family "Bacterial small subunit ribosomal RNA", at positions 61 to 753 of the family's 1533-position model. The record is from RNAcentral.